This 199-nucleotide ribosomal RNA is filed under the name uncultured bacterium. Its description in RNAcentral is "partial 16S ribosomal RNA". It matches the Rfam family "Bacterial small subunit ribosomal RNA", at positions 1303 to 1500 of the family's 1533-position model. The record is from RNAcentral.
GGCUGAAAUUACGCCUUCCAUGAAGCCGGAAUUGCUAGUAAUGGCAGGUCAGCAUACUGCCGUGAAUACGUUCCCGGGCCUUGUACACACCGCCCGUCACACCAUGAGAGUUGGGAAUACCCGAAGCCUGUGAGCUAACUUUACGAGGCAGCAGUCGAAGGUAGAAUCAAUGAUUGGGGUGAAGUCGUAACAAGGUAGC